AUUGAACGCUGGCGGCAGGCUUAACACAUGCAAGUCGAACGGCAGCGCGGACUUCGGUCUGGCGGCGAGUGGCGAACGGGUGGGUAAUGCAUCGGAACGUGCCUAUUAGUGGGGGAGAACGCUUCGAAAGGAGUGCUAAUACCGCAUACGACCUGAGGGUGAAAGUGGGGGACCGUAAGGCCGCACGCCAAUAGAUCGGCCGAUGUCUGAUUAGCUAGUUGGUGAGGUAAAGGCUGACCAAGGCGACGAUCAGUAGCGGGUCGUAGAGGACGAUCCGCCACGCUGGGACUGAGACACGGCCCAGACUCCUACGGGAGGAAGCAGUGGGGAAUCUUGGACAAUGGGCGCAAGCCUGAUUCAGCAAUGCCGCGUGGGUGAAGAAGGCCUUCGGGUUGUAAAGCCCUUUUGUUUGGGAGCAAAUCCUACUGGUUAAUACCUGGUGGGGAUGAGAGUACCAAAAGAAUAAGCACCGGCUAACUACGUGCCAGCCGCCGCGGUAA
This 500-nucleotide ribosomal RNA is filed under the name uncultured bacterium. Its description in RNAcentral is "partial 16S ribosomal RNA". It matches the Rfam family "Bacterial small subunit ribosomal RNA", at positions 29 to 523 of the family's 1533-position model. The record is from RNAcentral.